Molecule: long non-coding RNA, 1142 nt
Organism: Austrofundulus limnaeus
Lineage: Eukaryota; Metazoa; Chordata; Actinopteri; Cyprinodontiformes; Rivulidae
Exons: 4
Source: RefSeq, a predicted model, not a curated record
AGGAUACCGUCAUGUAGGCCUUGUAGCCCACAGUGUUUAUGCUUUUGACACGCCUAGUCUUGUGACACGCCCACUUCGAUUCCGCAGACACCCCUACUUGGUCAAGGUUGUUGCCCCUGCUGUCUCUCUGUUUUUCUGAAUUUACCACAGCACAAUGGUUCAUAAUAAAGUGAGAUGUUGCGUUGUUGGCUGCAUUACACCACAUGUGUCGAUGUAUACUCUUCCAGUCUCAGAGAACAGAGAUGCGUGKCUUUCUUUUAUUUAUAAUGGCAGUGUCCCUGCGACAUUACCGAAGAAAGUUAGAGUUUGCGCAGCUCAUUUCACAACAGAGUCCUUUCAAAACUUACAGCAGUACUUGACCCGAUUUGCACAAAAACUUCUGCUGAAGGAAGGUUCUGUUCCAUCUAUUCGACAACGUUCUGCAGAUGACGUUAAUGCUGUAACAUCUACAAGAAGAGACGUCGCUUGCCAAACCGAAAAUGAACAACAACAACAACAACGAACUGUGGCUACACAACUAUCUCUGCGAACUCUUCAGCCCAACUUCAGAUCCAAAGAUGUCAACGCUACUGUGUCAACCAAAGAAGUUGGAGUUGGCGUGCCAAAAAUUCCCUUCUCUGCACAUCACACAGUCGUCAUGUCUACUCCUAUAAAGACACCUGGUCUGGGAGGGCACGAGCUCAGUGUUGAUUCCUGAAGAGCUGGACCCCACCUAUGAUGCUGAUGCACCUGUCACUGACUAAUCCACAUCGGCAUGCAACAUUUGGUUAUGUUGAUGACUUGGUGUGUCUGAUUAUGGGAUCAGUCUUUCAAGAACCGGAACCAUAUCGUGUAGAGCUGCUCCAAAUACAAGUCCCUCCAGUCCUGGCUGCUGAGUAUGAUCAUCUAGAAAUGGAAGAGGUGAUCAGUAAGUUUGUCUCACGUUUCAACCAAUCAGAGGCAGUCUGAAGCCGAUGUACUGUCCUUGGCGGUCAGGAAACUCGAGACGAACCCGCAGGACGACACACGAGAGGAGAACUACUCUGAUCCUGCGUCCAAGAAAUCCCCAACACUAACUGAUGAAGCCUCCAUAGGCCAUAAACCUAUAACGACUGAAUGAAAUAAUUAUUAGUUUGUGUAAUAAAAAUUAUAUUUUAAAAAAA